AUGAAGUGUGGUUUAUUAAAUAUCAGAUCUCUCUCAUCUAAAUCCUUUUUAAUAAAUGACUUGAUAAGUGACCAUCACAUAGAUCUGUUCUGUCUCACUGAAACCUGGCUGCAGCAGGAUGAAUAUGUUACUUUAAAUGAGUCGACUCCAAUGAGUCACAUCAACUAUCAUGUUCCAAGAAGUACAGGUAGAGGUGGAGGAGUAGCAGCAGUUUAUAAAUCAGAUUUAUUAAUUACUCCUAAACCUAAACAUAGUUAUAACUCAUUUGAGAGCCUCACUCUGAGCCUUUCUCACCCAGACUCUAAAACUCAGAAACCAGUUGUGUUUUGUAUUGUUUACCGUCCUCCUGCUCCAUAUUCAGAGUUCUUAACUGAAUUCUCUGAAUUCUUAUCUGACUUAGUUCUUAGCACAGAUAAAGUCAUUGUAGUGGGAGACGUUAACAUUCAUGUAGAUGUUGACAGCAACUGUCUCAGCACUGCUUUUAACUCCUUAAUAGACACUAUUGGUUUUACACAGCAGGUAAAUGAACCCACUCAUCGUUUUAACCACACUCUAGAUCUUGUCCUGACAUAUGGAGUUGAAAUUGAUAAUUUAAUAGUUCUUCCCCAAAACCCUCUGUUAUCUGACCAUUUCUUAUUAACUUUUGAAUUUAGCACAACUGACCCUAUAACAGCUGGAAAGAAAUGUUACUAUAGCAGAUGUUUAUCUGACAAUGCUGUUGCCAGAUUCAAGCAGAUGAUUCCAUCAUCUUUUGCCUCAAUGUCUUGCAGAUACACAGAGAACAGUCACCUUAAUCCUUAUGAACAGGUUGACUGUCUUGUAGAUGAUGCUGCAGCUUCUCUACGUACAGUGUUAGAGACAGUGGCCCCUCUGAAGAAGAAGACAGUGAAUCAGAGGAGGUUAGCUCCGUGGUAUAACUCAGACAUCCGCAGUCUAAAGCAAAGGACUAGACAACUAGAAAGACAGUGGCGUUCCAACAAAAUAAAUGUAAACUGCAUUGCAUGGAAGGACAGUCUAAUGAAAUAUAAAAAAGCACUUUGUGCUGCUAGAAAAACAUAUUAUUCCUCCCUAAUUGAGGAAAACAAAAACAACCCCAGGUUUCUUUUCAGCACUGUAGCCAGGCUGACAAAGAGUCAUAGCUGUAUUGAGUCUACUAUCCCCUUAAAUCUCAGCAGCAAUGACUUUAUGAACUACUUUACUAAUAAAAUUAUCAUUAGAAAAAACAUUCAGCAGCGACUUCUUCCAAAUGACAGAAAGCACUGUCUAGAUCCAUUAACUUUAAAUUUAUUAAAUCCUCUGUCUUACCUAGACAGCUUCUCCCCCAUAACUCAUAUGGAGUUAACCUCAAUAAUUAACUCUUCCAAGUCGUCCACUUGUCUUUUAGAUCCAAUCCCAACCAGAUUACUCAAAGAAGUUCUACCUUUAAUCAGCUCAUCCAUAUUAAAUCAAAUCAACCAAUCUUUACAACUAGGCUAUGUACCACAGGCUUUUAAGGUGGCUGUGGUCAAACCUCUAUUGAAAAAAACCAACCCUUGA
This 1536-nucleotide long non-coding RNA is filed under the name Betta splendens (Siamese fighting fish). RNAcentral's name for it is "lncRNA (ENSBSLG00000005325.1)". The record is from RNAcentral. Lineage: Eukaryota; Metazoa; Chordata; Actinopteri; Anabantiformes; Osphronemidae.